AGUGAACGCUGGCGGUAGGCCUAACACAUGCAAGUCGAACGGCAGCACAGUAAGAGCUUGCUCUUACGGGUGGCGAGUGGCGGACGGGUGAGGAAUACAUCGGAAUCUACUUUUUCGUGGGGGAUAACGUAGGAAAACUUACGCUAAUACCGCAUACGACCUACGGGUGAAAGCAGGGGAUCUUCGGACCUUGCGCGAUUGAAUGAGCCGAUGUCGGAUUAGCUAGUUGGCGAGGUAACGGCCCACCAAGGCAACGAUCCGUAGCUGGUCUGAGAGGAUGAUCGGCCACACUGGAACUGAGACACGGUCCAGACUCCUACGGGAGGCAGCAGUAGGGAAUCUUGGACAAUGGGCGCAAGCCUGAUCCAGCCAUACCGCGUGGGUGAAGAAGGUCUUCGGGUUGUAAAGCUCUUUUGUUGGGAAAGAAAAGCAGUAUGUUAAUCCCCCGCUGUUUUGACGGUACCCAAAGAAUAAGCACCGGCUAACUUCGUG
This 492-nucleotide ribosomal RNA is filed under the name uncultured bacterium. RNAcentral describes it as "partial 16S ribosomal RNA". It matches the Rfam family "Bacterial small subunit ribosomal RNA", at positions 29 to 507 of the family's 1533-position model. The record is from RNAcentral.